GAAUUAAUGUAACAGCCAAAAAUAAGCUGAAUUUUUCAGCUCAUUUUUAUUUUGAAUCAAACAAGAGCGGGCUCAAACUAUUUUUAAGUCAAUUCAGAAGUGGCCUUUUCUAGCUCAUGUUUGACUCGUUGAAAGCCCUAAUAUCUCUAUAUCCAUCUUUCCACAAACUCAUCCCAAAGUCCACACCAAAUUAAAUUUCUUAAUUUUAGUUUUGUGAAUUAUAUAUGCACAUUCAUUUAGUAAAAAUACAAGUUCUAGAUAAAUUUUUAACAAAAUCAUUUAAAAUUUAAACAAUUUAAAUUAUUUUUUAGGUAAAAAGAAAAAAGUUUAAAGUAAGAGUUUAAAAAAAGUUAUUGGGUUGUGCUGGCCCAAAUGGCACAUCCAACAUGGGCCAUACCAUGCCAGCGGGCUGCGAACCAGUCACUACACGGGUUAGGAAUGCCAGUAGGUACGAAUAUCCAAAAUUUUAUUCGAAUCCAAAUCUAAACGGGGUAGAUAUAUUCGAUACUAAAUGGAUAUAGUAUCGGAUACAAGUCUAAAAAAUCAAAAUCUAAUGGAUUUGAAUUCAAGUAUAGAUUUUGAUUUUUUCUAUAUCCGACCAGAAACCGAACUAGAUCUGAACCUAAAUUAAUUAACAUUAUAUAAAUAUAUGUGAAUGUUUGAUGUUAUAUUUGUAUUUGUAUUUUAAAAAUUUAGAUUUAAUGUAAUACUAGUGGAGUUACCCGCGCAUUGCGGCGGGCUGAUACUGUAAGAGACAGAAGAUUGACAAACUAAAAUAUUUUAAAAUUUUUUCACUUGUCAUGAGAAAUCAACAAAUACGAAUAAAAGAUAUAGAACGGAUUUAGCAAAAUUUAUAAUUUUAGCAAAUAAAUUACACGCAAUAAUAAUAAAAAAAACAGCAAUAGAACACUACUCCAUAUACACCUUAAUUGUGUUGCUGAUAUCGGAAAGGCGAAUCUUGAUCUCCACUUCUCAUUCGCCGCCAUUGUCAGCGUCGAGUUCCUCUUUAAUCACGGUAAUACAUAUCUUAUUUUAUUUAUUUUUUAUAAUAUUUAUUUGUUUAAAUGACAAUGAAUGUGAACAUAUUAAUUGAGAAAUGGACACGUGGGAAGACGAAAUAUCAUGCGGAUAUAAAAGAUAAUAAAUUCGAUCAUUAGGAAUUAGCAAGAAGGCAAGAAUGGGAGAUGAAGGUAAGGAUGAAGGAGACUUUGCCAUAUGGCAAAGUUUAUGAGGAAUAAUGAAUAAAUAAAUAAAAAUAGAAGAUAUAGAUAUAGAUGUGUUGAAAUACAGUAAAGAUAAAUAAUUAUUUCGGGUUCGGAUUUUUAGAUUCAAAUUCGGGUUUCAAUUUUUUUGCUGAAUUCAAAUUUGAAUAUGGAUUUUCAAAAUCCGUGGAAUAUGAUGAGUGAAUUGGACAAAUAUAUAUAAACAUUAUUUUUCACAUCUUAGCUUACCAAACCUUCAUCAUGUGUACUUAAUGAAGGACAAAUGAAUAUUUCAUUUCAAUAAAUUAUUUUUAGGCAAAGUCUUCUUAAAGUACAUACAUGUUUAACAUGAUAUAAUUUUUUUCAUUAUAACUAUUAGCUAUUCAAAUUCCUAUAAAGCCAUUAUAGCUAAUAGUUCCUUUGUAGUUUGGAAAUCAAAAUUGUCUAUAUUAAAAGAGAGAUGGAGAAAUAUUUGCAUUGUCAAAAUAAGUAAACAAUAUUAGCAAAUUUUUAUCAAAAUAUUCAUACCAAAAUUUUGGUCACUUCAAAAUAUGGUUUAAAUGUCUUUUUCGAUAUUUGUGAAUGGAUAAUUGGUAAAUCUAUAUUAACUUCUCACAUUAUUGAAUUAUUGUGAAUAAUUCCAAUUACAAAAAGUAAUUAUUAUCUAGAAUAGGGCUACUAUACUCUUUAUAAUCAUAAGUUUUCGGCCAUUGAAUGAAGGGAUGUGCGGUUAGAAUGAUAGGGGUCACUGAUAAAGAUGAUAGUGAUUUCUUAGGAUUAAGUUGGUGGUUGGUUGAAUAAGAUAAUCUAACGGAUGAAAAUGGUCUAGGGAAUAGAUCUAACGGUCGAAAACUUGUGAGUACAAAAAAAAACUAUACUAAUAAGAGUAUAGUAGCCAGACUUUUAUUAUCUAAAAGUAUGUUACACAAUUAGCUUAAAAGUAUAACUUUUUAAAACUUUAUUUAUGCUCUUCGAUAACUAGGCAAGUUAAUAGCAAUGAACGUGCUAAAAGAUAUUUAUUUUCUAUUUAUAAAUUUAUGGUACCAAACUAUGAUGUGCAGUUCUCAUUAUCUUCAUUUUAGAUGAAAUAUGCAAUCCUAUUAUACAUGCGUUGCAAACUACGCCUAUAUUGUAAGCAUAUAAUUACUAAAAUUUGAAAACUCAAUAAACUUCAUAUGAUGGUUCUUCCUGUAGUUAGUUUAAUCCGUAAUAGAUAUUUCAUAAUCAAAUUUUCAUGAUGAAAAGUAAUUUGUCGAAAUAACAGUGUAGAAAUUGAUGAUAAUUAGAAGAAUGCAACUUAAGAAUAGACAGUAAGGUCAAUAAAUAGUUAAUGAUAAUUUAUUACCUAAGUUUGGUAGAAUACUGGUGGAAUUCAGUAGAUUUAGAGAUAAUAAUUUGUAUCACAACUUUGUAUGACUGGACAAAAGCUGCUGUUGACAUUGUACAUGAUAUUUCAUACAUAUUACUACAUUAAGGUGUGUUGGUUAGUUGUCCGCCACCAAUGUAAUUAGUAUAUAUAUUAUGAACUAGAUAAAGAUUAAAAGAAUAUGUUUCUUAAUUAUAGUUUCAUCACGGUUGUAAAAUAGAAGUUUUUAACAUUCUUUCAGUUCUUCAAGACUAUCUCUUCCUAUAAAUUCUUCAAAUUUAGCAAUCACGUAUUGUGUAAGUAUUGUGAUGGUGGAAUCUAACAGGUAGGGGUGGCAAUCCAGCUCGCUGUUCGCGAGCCAGCUCAUGUUCGGCUCGAAAUGAGCUCGAAUUAGCUCGCUCGUUUAGUAAACGAGCCGAACACGAGCCUGGAUUUUUCAGCUCGUUUAAUAAACGAGCCGAACAUGAGCUGGGUCAGCUCGCUCGUGUUCGACUCGAUAACAGCUCGAAUACAUAUAUUUUAUAUUAUAUAAUUUAUUUAAUUAUAAUUUUAUAUAAAAUAAAUAUUAUAUAUAAUAUAAUAUUUUUAUUAUUUAAUUUUUAGCAAAAUAAAAUAUAUAUGGCGAGCUUAAUUAUAAAAAGACUCAUUUAUAUAUAAAAGUUUUAACUAUUAAAUCAAAGCUAAUGGAUAAGAUUUUAUAAAUU
RNAcentral lists this long non-coding RNA (3272 nucleotides) under Ananas comosus (pineapple). RNAcentral describes it as "long non-coding RNA (ACOM_LNC017076)". The record is from RNAcentral. Lineage: Eukaryota; Viridiplantae; Streptophyta; Magnoliopsida; Poales; Bromeliaceae.